RNAcentral lists this ribosomal RNA (253 nucleotides) under uncultured bacterium. RNAcentral describes it as "partial 16S ribosomal RNA". It matches the Rfam family "Bacterial small subunit ribosomal RNA", at positions 524 to 776 of the family's 1533-position model. The record is from RNAcentral.
UACGAAGGGGGCUAGCGUUGUUCGGAUUUACUGGGCGUAAAGCGCACGUAGGCGGAUCGUUAAGUCGGGGGUGAAAUCCUGGAGCUCAACUCCAGAACUGCCUUCGAUACUGGCGAUCUUGAGUCCGGAAGAGGUGAGUGGAACUCCUAGUGUAGAGGUGGAAUUCGUAGAUAUUAGGAAGAACACCAGUGGCGAAGGCGGCUCACUGGUCCGGUACUGACGCUGAGACGCGAAAGCGUGGGGAGCAAACAGG